Molecule: ribosomal RNA, 280 nt
Filed under: Syllis gracilis complex lineage 1 PAC-2017
Lineage: Eukaryota; Metazoa; Annelida; Polychaeta; Phyllodocida; Syllidae
Description: partial 16S ribosomal RNA
Source: RNAcentral
UUAAACGGCGGCGGUACUUGGACGGUGCGAGGGUAGCACAAUAAGGAGCCUCCUAAUUAGAGGAUAGAAUGAAUGAACCAACGAAAAAGACGCUGUCUCAUAUGUACACAAUGAAACUUAUAUAUGGGUGAAAAAGCCCAUGUUUCAAUUAAAGACAAGAAGACCCUAUAAGCUUUUUUAAACCUUAAUAUCUCUAAUUAUCAAUUAUUUAGUUGGGGCGACUCAAGGACAUAAACACUUUUCAAUACUUAGAUCUUAUUGCUCCCCAUCCUUAUUUCUA